RNAcentral lists this long non-coding RNA (827 nucleotides) under Sitophilus oryzae (rice weevil). RNAcentral's name for it is "uncharacterized LOC115884962, transcript variant X1". The record is from RNAcentral. Lineage: Eukaryota; Metazoa; Arthropoda; Insecta; Coleoptera; Curculionidae.
CAAUAAUAAGUAAAUAAAUAAUUUCUUGAUAUGUUCUCACUAAUAUGAGAAAAAUUACAUCAUGGUUCAUUCAAACACUGAAAUAGGAGCCUGGGCUAUAAUAAAAAGCAAUUUUCAUAGAAGAAACCAACAGUAUCUUUUAAGGACGAAAUGAAGUUACGUAGGAAGUCUCUGUUGUAGUAACAGUGCUGUUUUGGGAUCAGUUAACUACUGGUUCCUUUUAAGGAUAGAUAAAAAUUUCUAUGGUGUAGUCAUUUUCUAUGGACACAAGCAAGAAGGCAAAAUGCUACAUAAUAUGUUCACAAAAUUCACUGAAAUCAUCCCAGAAUUAUUUGUAUCUGCAUAUCGAAUGAUGGACCAUCAAGCAGGACUCCAUAAUUAUUAUUGAAGGUCGUCUAAUGAAUUUGUUUAUGGAAUAAGAAACAGACAAAGGACAAUGAUUGACUAAGGAUAUUUAUUCAAACAGCAGAAGAUAUAGUUCAAGCAGUUAUAGUUGAACAACUAUCUAAAGGACUCCAUAAUUAUUGAGGGUUGUCUAAUGAAAUGGUUAUUGGACUAAGAAACAAACAAAGGACAAUGUUUUUCUGACGAUAUUUAGCAGAAGAUAUAGUUUGAAGUUUAAAUAUAGGUUUGGAUCUCUGGAACACAUUAUCUCGUAAGCUAAUCAAAUGGACCCGUUCCUACACGCCAACGAUACUGCAAGAUACCCAUAACUACCAAGGCUUCAACUCCAGCUGGCUUUUGUUUAUUUUAAUAUAAUUUCUUUUGAACUAAUUAGUACUUUUAGGUGGCAUUAUAUUAAACACAAUUACAUUUAAAUAAAUAAA